RNAcentral lists this unclassified non-coding RNA (423 nucleotides) under Hevea brasiliensis (rubber tree). Lineage: Eukaryota; Viridiplantae; Streptophyta; Magnoliopsida; Malpighiales; Euphorbiaceae. The record is from RNAcentral.
GAGAAAUAUACAUACAGUAUUCAGAGAAAACAAAAUUGUAGGCAGACCUUAAAUCAUAAAAUUGCAAACCAAAAAUCAAGUAAAUUUCAAUGAGUUGUGCAAAUCCAAUAAACCAAUAAUGAUAAAAAGCAAAGUAGCUAAGCAACUUGGAACCUGUAGUUUUAUGUGACUUCAACCCUGAAGUGGGGAAGGCAACACUUUUAUAAAAGGGUUCCCUACUCCAUUAGAGCUGGAGAGACAUGCUCCCAAAGUAAUCUUAGACCUUAGUGACUUGGUUCAGAACUUAUAACCUAUCAAGAUCUUCCCAUGUGUACCCUUUGGAAUAAAACCAGCUUUUUCACCCAAGCGAUCGCCAACCAUAUGAGACCCAACUUUCCGGCAUGGAUUUAAUUUGUACUUCUUAAAGGGACCACAAACAUUGGC